AUUGUUGCUUAAAAUGGGUUUGGUGCUUCUUUUUUCACGUUUAUUUAUUUAUUGGCUUAUGAACAAUGUUUUACGGAUCAAAUUUAAAUUGACUGGUAGUUUAAAGAAAAGGGAUUGCUCCAAUUUAUGUCUUAAUAGAUAUAUGUAUAUAUAUGUAUAUGUAUGGUGAUAUAUUUGAGUAAGUUCAUUCAUGCAGACAGCUUUCCACUUCUCUGUAUGCUGAUGUCUUAAGUGUGUUUAGGAGUCGCAGUUGAGAGAAGUGCAUGCCGAUAUCUAAAAGGGGGUUCUCUUGUCUUAUAAUCCUGUUAAUUUGUUUUUGAGUAAAUAUUUUUCUACGUUGUCUGAGAAUAAAACGCUUCUGUAUGCAGACACAUUCUUAUCUUGUUGAAGGAAACAGCUUCGUACAGUGGGUUUGGGUGGUUCUUGACUUGUUUAAUUUCUUAUUUCUUGAGAUUUAUGCCAUCUGGAAUCAUUAUUUGAUCAAAGAUCACUGUUUUUAUCAGAUGCAUCCUAAAAUUUUCUUGUUAUGGAGUUUCACUCAGUCAAAGGAAAAAGGGCUGCAUGAUUGUAUGGUAUGUUUUUUGUUCAUGGAAUCUCACGUUUUGAAGGACAAUGCGCUGGUUUUAGUUGGGGGUUCAAGUGCUUUCUUCUUGCUUCUGAUUUAGCUUUCUAUUCUUGGGCUUUGUUUGGUUCUAUAUUUGAGCAAUUUGUGCCUACCCUAUUGUUUGUUUGCAGAUACGUUGAAGCGACUUGUUUUUGGAGUCCUUCCUCAUUAAAGGAGAACAGUGAAUAUUCACGGGGGUUCUGUUGUCGUAUGUUUUUGUUUUCUUAUCCUAGAGUAUGGUUUUGUGCUACUAUUUGAGCAAUGUCUUUGUAUGCAGACACUUUCCAACUCGUCUGUAAAUGAGGUCCAACUUUGUAGUAGAACAAGCUGCUUCCAAGAGGGGGUUUGAUUAGUUAUUGGAUUAUGAUUUAAAUUCUUA
This is a long non-coding RNA of Pyrus x bretschneideri (Chinese white pear), 983 nucleotides long. RefSeq lists it as uncharacterized. The transcript is spliced from 2 exons. The record is from RefSeq and is a predicted model, not a curated record. NCBI's taxonomy places the organism in Eukaryota, Viridiplantae, Streptophyta, Magnoliopsida, Rosales, Rosaceae.